This 517-nucleotide ribosomal RNA is filed under the name uncultured bacterium. Its description in RNAcentral is "bacterial SSU rRNA". It matches the Rfam family "Bacterial small subunit ribosomal RNA", at positions 774 to 1294 of the family's 1533-position model. The record is from RNAcentral.
AGUGAAUAGAUACCCUGGUAGUCCACGCUGUAAACGAUGAUCACUCGUUGUUGGCGAUAUACAGUCAGCGACUGAGCGAAAGCAUUAAGUGAUCCACCUGGGGAGUACGGCGGCAACGUUGAAACUCAAAGGAAUUGACGGGGCCCGCACAAGCGGAGGAGCAUGUGGUUUAAUUCGAUGAUACGCGAGGAACCUUACCUGGGCUUAAAUGCAGGACGACGUUUCGUGAAAGCGGAAUUUCCUUCGGGACGUCUUGCAAGGUGCUGCAUGGUUGUCGUCAGCUCGUGCCGUGAGGUGUCGGGUUAAGUCCCAUAACGAGCGCAACCCUUAUCAUUAGUUGCCAUCAGGUCAAGCUGGGAACUCUAAUGAAACUGCCUACGCAAGUAGUGAGGAAGGUGGGGAUGACGUCAAAUCAGCACGGCCCUUAUGUCCAGGGCGACACACGUGCUACAAUGGCCAGUACAGAGGGUUGCUACCUGGUGACAGGAUGCUAAUCUCAAAACGCUGGUCUCAGUUC